AGAGAUCCGCUUGCCAGGUGACACCAGAACCAGCACAUCAUCAUGUAACCCAACCCAAGGUUGGCGCCGGCUUUAUGCGCUCUCUAUGCUGAUAAGCGACUACGGCGUAACCCAUGCUGCAAAGUGCCGUAUCAGCUUCUUGGCCCGAGUGGCCCCACCUCGCCACCCGGUGACAUGCAGUUGGAAAACUGCGUUCGCAAUGUCGAAUGAAGGUCGCCGGUGUUUGCUGCCCUCUCUCUGUGUGUGUGUGUGUGUGUGUGUGUAUGUGGCCUAUGUUAGUGUGUGUGGGUGUUUGCUAAAAAACAUUUCUUUGGGAAGUGUUCGCAGCGUGCUGCCGUCGUGUUUGGAGCAUGGAUCUCCUGGCCUUGAUGCCACUUUCCGGAUUUGAGACCGAAACUUUCCAAUUAUUUACAUAUGAUCUACGCUCUAGCUUAUCGUGCCAUCUUAUUAGAAUAUAUGUAUGUAUGAAUAUGAAAUCUAUCUCCAUGUGACCCCAUAAAAGAGUACUCAUACUGAUCACUAAAACAGCAGAGUCGAUAUAAGUAUGUAAGUAGUACUUUUCGAGAAAAGGUAAAAACAAAACCAACAAA
This is a long non-coding RNA of Drosophila gunungcola (fruit fly), 590 nucleotides long. RefSeq lists it as uncharacterized. The transcript is spliced from 2 exons. The record is from RefSeq and is a predicted model, not a curated record. Lineage: Eukaryota; Metazoa; Arthropoda; Insecta; Diptera; Drosophilidae.